CUUUUUUGGUAAUCACAGCUUCAGGAUGCCUCCUAUAUGGAGAAACUAGUCACAUGCAUUGCUCAGUUGUGAUUUUGGCCCAUUGUUCCAUAUAAACAGUCUACAAAUCUUGAAGGAUUUGCACACCUCAAUAUGGUUU
This is a long non-coding RNA of Thalassophryne amazonica, 139 nucleotides long. RefSeq lists it as uncharacterized. The record is from RefSeq and is a predicted model, not a curated record. Lineage: Eukaryota; Metazoa; Chordata; Actinopteri; Batrachoidiformes; Batrachoididae. The transcript has 3 exons.